GACAUACCACUUGUUGCCUCGGCGGAUCAGCCCGCUCCCGGUAAAACGGGACGGCCCGCCAGAGGACCCCUAAACUCUGUUUCUAUAUGUAACUUCUGAGUAAAACCAUAAAUAAAUCAAAACUUUCAACAACGGAUCUCUUGGUUCUGGCAUCGAUGAAGAACGCAGCAAAAUGCGAUAAGUAAUGUGAAUUGCAGAAUUCAGUGAAUCAUCGAAUCUUUGAACGCACAUUGCGCCCGCCAGUAUUCUGGCGGGCAUGCCUGUUCGAGCGUCAUUUCAACCCUCAAGCACAGCUUGGUGUUGGGACUCGCGUUAAUUCGCGUUCCUCAAAUUGAUUGGCGGUCACGUCGAGCUUCCAUAGCGUAGUAGUAAAACCCUCGUUACUGGUAAUCGUCGCGGCCACGCCGUUAAACCCCAACUUCUGAAUGUUGACCUCGGAUCAGGUAGGAAUACCCGCUGAACUUAAGCAUAUCAA
RNAcentral lists this ribosomal RNA (475 nucleotides) under Fusarium oxysporum. Its description in RNAcentral is "eukaryotic LSU rRNA". The stretch from base 121 to 274 matches the Rfam family "5.8S ribosomal RNA". Lineage: Eukaryota; Fungi; Ascomycota; Sordariomycetes; Hypocreales; Nectriaceae. The record is from RNAcentral.